Molecule: long non-coding RNA, 333 nt
Filed under: Musa acuminata (dwarf banana)
Lineage: Eukaryota; Viridiplantae; Streptophyta; Magnoliopsida; Zingiberales; Musaceae
Description: long non-coding RNA (MACU_LNC004337)
Source: RNAcentral
ACAACAACAACACGAUCAAAGAGUUCAGAUUUAAUUUUCAAUCAGCAUGCAAUCGGUGGUGCUGCUGCUAUAACUACUAUGAUGGAUUAGCUUAAUAUCGACCAAAGACAUACAAGAGAGAGGUGCCAUCACUUCAGACUUGGGGAGAUGCCAUCACUUCAGACUUGGGGAGAAUCGGUCAAAAUCUCGCAAGAUAUAUCAAUUUCUUAGCUGUGAAAUUGGUAAAAGAAAAAGAAGACGCAGAAAAAGAACAAACUCAAAGUUGGAGGACAAUAAAAAGAUCUCAGACUUGAUAUGAAGUGGGAGGACUAUGUAUUCUUUGUUCACUUCCUG